UACGUAGGGGGCAAGCGUUGUCCGGAUUUAUUGGGCGUAAAGAGCGUGUAGGCGGCCAGAUAGGUCCGUUGUGAAAACUCGAGGCUCAACCUCGAGACGCCGAUGGAAACCAUCUGGCUAGAGUCCGGAAGAGGCGAGUGGAAUUCCCGGUGUAGCGGUGAAAUGCGCAGAUAUCGGGAGGAACACCUAUGGCGAAGGCAGCUCGCUGGGACGUAACUGACGCUGAGACGCGAAAGCGUGGGGAGCAAACAGG
RNAcentral lists this ribosomal RNA (253 nucleotides) under uncultured bacterium. Its description in RNAcentral is "partial 16S ribosomal RNA". It matches the Rfam family "Bacterial small subunit ribosomal RNA", at positions 524 to 776 of the family's 1533-position model. The record is from RNAcentral.